Molecule: ribosomal RNA, 482 nt
Filed under: uncultured bacterium
Lineage: Bacteria
Description: partial 16S ribosomal RNA
Rfam family: Bacterial small subunit ribosomal RNA
Source: RNAcentral
AUUGAACGCUGGCGGCAUGCCUUACACAUGCAAGUCGAACGGUAACAGGUCUUCGGAUGCUGACGAGUGGCGAACGGGUGAGUAAUACAUCGGAACGUGCCCGAUCGUGGGGGAUAACGCAGCGAAAGCUGUGCUAAUACCGCAUACGAUCUACGGAUGAAAGCGGGGGAUCGCAAGACCUCGCGCGGACGGAGCGGCCGAUAGCAGAUUAGGUAGUUGGUGGGAUAAAAGCUUACCAAGCCGACGAUCUGUAGCUGGUCUGAGAGGACGACCAGCCACACUGGGACUGAGACACGGCCCAGACUCCUACGGGAGGCAGCAGUGGGGAAUUUUGGACAAUGGGCGCAAGCCUGAUCCAGCCAUGCCGCGUGCAGGAUGAAGGCCUUCGGGUUGUAAACUGCUUUUGUACGGAACGAAAAAGCUCUCUCUAAUACAGGGGGUGAAUGACGGUACCGUAAGAAUAAGCACCGGCUAACUACGUG